Long non-coding RNA from Suricata suricatta (meerkat), 2089 nucleotides. RefSeq lists it as uncharacterized. The record is from RefSeq and is a predicted model, not a curated record. NCBI's taxonomy places the organism in Eukaryota, Metazoa, Chordata, Mammalia, Carnivora, Herpestidae. The transcript has 2 exons.
CGACUCGGCCCCCGGGGGCGCUCACCAUAGGGCCUCCAGCGCCAGCUGACGGGGCUUGAACCCGCCGCGGGCGUCUAGUCUCUAGCGAGGCGGGGUCUUCGGCUGCCCCCGCGCGGCCUGCUGUGCCCGGGGCUUGAGUCCCUGGCAGGGGUCCGCGCACCUGGAGCCCUAACACACCUGCUGGCCCUAAAGCCCUCCGAGCGAGAGGGCAGCCUGCGCCGCUCUUUCUGCGAAGGGCGAAGUCUCAGACACCUUGAGGGCCGGCCCUUUAGCGCCUGCCCAGUGAGUGGGAAACGGGAGCCCCUCCGAGGCUAUGCCCGUCAUGUCAUGGACCAGGUGCCCAGUACCUCUCAGGCUUGGCCAGGCCUCGCUAGGGUUGUGCCACAGACGGUCCCAGCGCCCACACCGGCCAGAGGCUGUUGUCCUGGCUGGGGGUAUUGAAUAGGGCACUAGAGCCUCCUCCCCUGGGGUGGGCCUGGCCCUGCCUAAGACCAGGGCCUUGACUGGGUACCCUGUCCUCUGGGCCAGCUUUAUCCGCCCACCACACAGGGAACCCCUCAUUGUGCCAGUAACUGCCCAGCGCCCCCUCAUUGUGCCAGUAACUGCCGUUGGUUGCUGGGGAAGGGCGGCCCUGAGAGUGCGGGGUCCCGCGAGCCAGAGGGUCCUGCUACAGCCGUCAGGGAGGAGGCCUGCCAGGGCCGGCCCCGCUCCCCACACGCCGCCCAGCCUCAGUACAGCCCCAGGCCCUCCCCAGCCCCUCAUCCCAGCGGCGCAAGGCCAGGGGGCACCAUUGCUUGAAGCUGCUUCCCCUGACGCCCGAGCCCUUUGGGGGCUGGGAGCCCAGGAAAUGCCUCCAGACCUGUCCACGAGAUAAGAGCGGCCCUGGGCUGGGGGUGGGGAGGGUCAGGCACCUGCCGGAGGAUCUGGCUGGGCCCUGAGCUGUCAACCCCCGUCCCCGGUGAGCCUGUGAGCCCCGAGAGAGAAGUAAGGCUGACCCAGCCUCAAUCUGACGGCCUGCCCCCCGGAGUCAGCAUUCCAAAGUCGCCACGGCCGCAGAUGCUAGUGUUUAUCUUCAGGAAAAUACAAUGAAGCUGAUGGAGGUUUCCGAAGCUCUGUGCGCCCCUUCCCCGGGUCGUCACCUGGCCUGCGGUUACUGUGCCCACGGCGGGCAGUGACCACAAAAUGUGGAACCAGGCGGUCCCCAGGAUAUCCCGCAAGGUCCCGAGGCCGUGGCCCCAGCUGUCCUGGAGGGCUGGCUGGGGGAGUCACCCGCCCCCAGCCUCACUCUGGACGCUCCGCUGGCCUGAGCCCUCCUCCCUAGCAGAGACUGCCCAGUGCUGUGAACACCUGUCCACCCUCGGCCCCCUAAGGGCAGGGGACCUAGUCGGUGCUUGGUAAGCGUGCGCUGGCCAGGGCUGGGGUGGGCUUGGAGGGCCCACCCUGACACCUCCAUGGGGGCCAGUGAGUUCAGACAGUUGGGUCCCAGCACUCCCCGCCCCAGUGACAAGGCUAACGACAUGUGACAUGUCCCGCCUCCGAGCGCUGGGAGUGGCAGUCCCACACAGCUCAUGUCACUUGGUACGGCAGUAGUGGCUACCCUUAGCUGGCGCCAAGGGCUGCCUGAUGGUUUUGUGCAGCCCCUUGGUGGGCCUCACCUGUUGUGGGGAUGGAGCUCACGCACCUCGGGGAGGAGGCGGAGUCGGACUGGCCCUCCUCCAGCUGCCUGCCUUUCUCUUUGCUUCCCUUCCCGGCUCCCUGCCCUUCCUUCUAUUUCUCCAAAGGCCAUGGGGACAUCUCCCCUCUUGGCUUUGUUAGGGCAGGGAGCUGACCGUUUCUGAGUCCGUGAGUCUGAAUUUGGUCAAGGGUGGUGCCCAUUGGCUCACUGGCCUGCCAGUCCCAAGAGCGGCUGGGGCUCCUCCCCCCAGCCAGGGACAGACCUUGGGGAGGACAGCGGGGGGCGGGGCUGGGAGUCAGAGAAGGCCCCUCGUCCUCCACCCCGAGGGGCCCUGAGGCUUGCAAACAUCUGCCUGAGUACAAUAACCGAGCUCUACUUUUGUAAUUAAAAAUAUAUCCGAAGAGAAAAAGGAAA